Small nuclear RNA from Argiope bruennichi, 161 nucleotides. RefSeq annotates it as U1 spliceosomal RNA. The record is from RefSeq and is a predicted model, not a curated record. The transcript has a single exon. Lineage: Eukaryota; Metazoa; Arthropoda; Arachnida; Araneae; Araneidae.
AUACUUACCUGGCACUGGGGAUUCCUUGAUCAAGAAGGACACUCCCCCAAGCAGAGACCAACCAUUGCACAUCGGUGGAUUGACGUCACCACAUCCGCAAAUCGUGGUUGCUUGGGGUGCAUAAUUUUUGGUAGCUGGAACUGCGUCCGUGCUGGCCCUGA